RNAcentral lists this ribosomal RNA (332 nucleotides) under uncultured Lysobacteraceae bacterium. RNAcentral's name for it is "bacterial SSU rRNA". It matches the Rfam family "Bacterial small subunit ribosomal RNA", at positions 568 to 898 of the family's 1533-position model. The record is from RNAcentral. Lineage: Bacteria; Pseudomonadati; Pseudomonadota; Gammaproteobacteria; Lysobacterales; Lysobacteraceae.
UGCGUAGGUGGUUUUUUAAGUCCGUUGUGAAAGCCCUGGGCUCAACCUGGGAAUGGCAGUGGAUACUGGAAAGCUAGAGUGCGGUAGAGGGUAGUGGAAUUCCCGGUGUAGCAGUGAAAUGCGUAGAGAUCGGGAGGAACACCAGUGGCGAAGGCGGCUACCUGGACCAGCACUGACACUGAGGCACGAAAGCGUGGGGAGCAAACAGGAUUAGAUACCCUGGUAGUCCACGCCCUAAACGAUGCGAACUGGACGUUGGGUGCAACUUGGCACUCAGUGUCGAAGCUAACGCGUUAAGUUCGCCGCCUGGGGAGUACGGUCGCAAGACUGAA